This is a non-coding RNA of Psychroflexus torquis ATCC 700755, 35 nucleotides long. NCBI's taxonomy places the organism in Bacteria, Pseudomonadati, Bacteroidota, Flavobacteriia, Flavobacteriales, Flavobacteriaceae. The record is from Rfam.
AUUAAUAACGGGAGUCGAGAACUCCAAAAUUUAAU